CACACAUACAAAUGCGUUCUUCCUAUCCGACCGUCAACGCGCCGGAGAAUUCGCGACGAGCGCACAGUCUCGCGCGAAUCCUCGCGCGCGUGGCUCCUAUUUCAUCGUGCUCUGAAACGCAUCGUUGUCAUCGUCGUCCCGCUUGCUUACUAUAUCCAAUAUUAUUUUUUUCGAUCAUAUUUUUUUAUUGUUCAAUUCGUAUGUUAACGGUACGGCGCGUGUGUUUUUCUCGUGAUAUCCAUCAUGGUCGUCGCUUUUGUGAUGAUACCGUGCUGAAUGUACAGGGAAUGAGAUCUCUUAUUUGAACGAAAGAAAGAUAGAUAAAUAGAUAGAUAGAUAGAUAGAUAGACAGAUAGACAGACAGACAGACAGAUAGACAGAAAGACAGACGGAUAGAAUGUGUGAGAUAGUAAGAGAGGAAAGGGGAACACAUACGCGGCCAUUUUAAGUGCGCCGCGCGCUAACCCACCGGGGCCACCCAGUGUGUGCGUAGAAGCGCGCGCUCUCUCGUGCGAGCACAACCGUGCUGCCACCGUCGUCGGUUCAGAACUGCGUCUCUUUGCGUGCGCAGAAGCAAGUCGCGGACAAGUACGAAAGAGCACGCACGCGUGCGCGUGCGAGCACGCGCCGAAGAAUUCACGCGCUAAGAGAACGGAGAAUGUGAAAACGUGUUUUCUCUAUCUUUAUCUCUCUUUCUCUCUCUCACUCUCUCUUUCUCUCUCUCUCUCUCUCUCUCUCUCUCUCUUUCUGUAUAUAUAUACACAUUUUUAUCUUUCUUUUACCUCUGAUUUACUCUGAAUUACUUUGUUAUUCGCAAACGAGGAAAGAAAUACGUACGCGUAAAUACAUACGCGAUAUGAACAUUGUUGGUUGGAAAGAAAUAGAGGUAGAAGAAGCGUGAAAAAAAGAUAAAGAAGACGGCGGGCGGACGUACGAGCGAUCCUCGCCUGCUUACUCGCUCGCCAGGAAGCGUGACGAUCGGCGGAAGUGCGAAAAGAAGCGUGCUGCGCCCGCGAGAAUCGACGACAAUCGUUGAGUAUCAUCAUCGACGUCGAGAUGCGUUCGCAUUGUCUCCUCUCGAUGAUCGAUCGAUCGCCAAGUGGUGUCUCUUAUCCUUUCUCGUAUGGAUUUUGAUCGUUCUCGGAUUUUUAAAUAUACGAUCUUUGAAAUACAAUGUAUCUAUUGUAUUCUCGAUAAUAUUUGUAUAUCAAAUCUACACACGUACGCGAGGCGCGACGAUGGGAAAGAAAAGUGACUGUGCCGGAUGACGAGAAGACGUGACACGAGGGUGGCACGAAGGGGGCUACGCGAUGAUAACCCGCGUGGAAAAGUCGUACGAGAGAGGAGGAGUGCGUGGAAACGAGACUAAGAGAAAGAGAAAGAGAAAGAGAGAGAGAGAGAAAGAGAAAGAUAUGCCGCGAGAGCGUUGCGACAACGACCAGGUGGUGGAACGUGGGAAAGCCAACGUAAAAGGCAAGUCAAGUGGCAGAUUGUAAACAUCCGGUACCCGAUGCAAAUCCGUGUACAGCGACGACGAAGACGAAGACGAAGACGACGACGACGACUGUUGGCUGCGGCGGUCAUCGCCGCCGGCGACAUGCGCCAUUGCAUAUUCGAGCAUUUUUAUUUCGUCCUUUUACGUACUCGUCGAUUCUUUCCUCGGCUAUGCAAAACGAUACCCAUAAAUUCAAUCGGUAAUCAUUGUACAUAAAUUUUAAAGGUAAAUAUACUUAUACCUAUAUAUACACAGA
This is an RNA transcript of Vespa crabro (European hornet), 1751 nucleotides long. RefSeq lists it as uncharacterized. Lineage: Eukaryota; Metazoa; Arthropoda; Insecta; Hymenoptera; Vespidae. The record is from RefSeq and is a predicted model, not a curated record. The transcript is spliced from 2 exons.